GACGAACGCUGGCGGCGUGCUUAACACAUGCAAGUCGAACGGAAAGGCCCUGCUUUUGUGGGGUGCUCGAGUGGCGAACGGGUGAGUAACACGUGAGUAACCUGCCCUUGACUUUGGGAUAACUUCAGGAAACUGGGGCUAAUACCGGAUCGGAGCUCCUGCUGCAUGGUGGGGGUUGGAAAGUUUCGGCGGUUGGGGAUGGACUCGCGGCUUAUCAGCUUGUUGGUGGGGUAGUGGCUUACCAAGGCUUUGACGGGUAGCCGGCCUGAGAGGGUGACCGGCCACAUUGGGACUGAGAGACGGCCCAGACUGCUACGGGAGGCAGCAGGGGGGAAUAUUGCACAAUGGGCGGAAGCCUGAUGCAGCAACGCCGCGUGCGGGAUGACGGCCUUCGGGUUGUAAACCGCUUUCGCCUGUGACGAAGCGGGAGUGACGGUAAUGGGUAAAGAAGCACCGGCUAACUACGUG
RNAcentral lists this ribosomal RNA (468 nucleotides) under uncultured bacterium. RNAcentral's name for it is "partial 16S ribosomal RNA". It matches the Rfam family "Bacterial small subunit ribosomal RNA", at positions 28 to 507 of the family's 1533-position model. The record is from RNAcentral.